Molecule: small nuclear RNA, 134 nt
Organism: Calidris pygmaea (Spoon-billed sandpiper)
Lineage: Eukaryota; Metazoa; Chordata; Aves; Charadriiformes; Scolopacidae
Gene: U1
Rfam family: U1 spliceosomal RNA
About the family: U1 is a small nuclear RNA (snRNA) component of the spliceosome (involved in pre-mRNA splicing). Its 5' end forms complementary base pairs with the 5' splice junction, thus defining the 5' donor site of an intron.
Source: Ensembl
UCACUUACCCAACAGGAGAAAGACUGAGAUCAAUAACAUAGCCUUUCUGGGUAAGAAUAUUCUUUGCAUUCCAGGUGUGCUGACUCUUGUGAUUUCCCUGAAUGUGGAGAAGCCGACUGCAUAAUCUGUAGUGA